This 269-nucleotide ribosomal RNA is filed under the name uncultured archaeon. RNAcentral describes it as "partial 16S ribosomal RNA". It matches the Rfam family "Archaeal small subunit ribosomal RNA", at positions 747 to 1009 of the family's 1478-position model. The record is from RNAcentral.
CACGCCCUAAACCGAAUGCGCGUUAGGUGUAUCGGUGACCACGAGUCACCGAGGUGCCGAAGGGGAACCGGUGAAACGUAGCCGCCUGGGAAGUACGGUCGCAAGGCUGAAACUUAAAGGAAUUGGCGGGGGAGGCACCACAACGGGUGGAGCCUGCGGGUUUAAUUUGGACUCAACGCCGGGAAGCUCACCGGAUAAGACAGCGGAAUGAUUGCCGGGCUGAAGACCCUGCAUGACCAGCUGAGAGGAGGUGCAUGGCGUAGUCGUGU